This is a long non-coding RNA of Talpa occidentalis (Iberian mole), 1261 nucleotides long. RefSeq lists it as uncharacterized. The record is from RefSeq and is a predicted model, not a curated record. Lineage: Eukaryota; Metazoa; Chordata; Mammalia; Eulipotyphla; Talpidae. The transcript is spliced from 6 exons.
GUGACUUCAUAACCUCCCUAAGCCUUUUUGUUUUCAUCUGAAAUGUAGGUGUCUGUAUCUUGGGUUGCUGUGUUGCUUAUGUGCCUGUAGCCUAAAAGAGUUACAGAUUUAUUUGAGCAACUCUUUGAGUCAUGAACUCCACCAGGCUGAUGAGCAUAAAAGUUUGGUUUACCCUGUCAAGGCUCAAUAAAGAAGACCAGAGUGACAUAAUGAAUUAAACUAAUGGGCGAGAGCUGCUUCCUCCUCCUUUCUUCCUGUAUGUGUUCAGCGUUUCCAACAACUUCAGGUCCUUUUCAGACAACACCUUAACUCAAAAGACUUCUCGGGCUGCUCUCAAGGUAACUGUUACUGACUCUCUUUGCAAGUUUCCCUGUUCACCUCUUACCCCCCGUGAUUCCUCUCCUGCAUUAAGCAUUGUCUUAAGACAUCUGUGGGCAUCUGAUCAUGGCGUUCUGUGGGCAGGGACUGUGUCAUCCUGUACAAUCCUAGAUCUAUCCCCAUUGUUCAGUCCAGUUCCUGCACCAGAGGCUCAAUCAAUAUUUGAUAAAAGAAUAAUCAACAAGACGAGACUCUAAGUUGGAAACUUUCUUGCCUGUGUCCAAGGUCAAAGUGAAAUGUAAAUGUCAGUGGUCACGAUAGAGCUUACAGGACUCAGCCAGUUUGCUGACCUCCUUACUCCUGUGCAAAGGGUCUGAAAAUGCAGUGUGCAUUCAAUCUGAGGGACCCGAUUGAAGUCUUAGUGAGAACUCAAACUGUGAAAAAAUAAAUAAAUAAAAGGAAUGACUAAGAAAGAAAAGAAGGAGGUGAGGAGAAGAACAGAAGAUAAACUCUUCAAAGAAAACUGCUGAGUAGAAAUGUGCAGGAAAAGACUACCUGAAGAGUCACGUUCAUGGGAGAAGGCAGGCCCUGGUACAUCUGGAACCUGUAAGAACCUCUGAUUUAGGGCAGCAACCUGAUUUUACAGAGGAGAAAACGGGAGCCCUCAAAGAGACAGCCAACUGCACAGAGGUUACUGUCAGGAUGAGAUGACAAAAUAGAUUGGAAAAUACCUUGUCACCCGGAUAGUAUCCUCCACUUCUGUAGAUCAGUGACAUACUAUGAGCCACAGACUUGGAAAAUCAUGGAUCAUUUGGGCUGAAAGGGACCUUCAUUCAGAGGAUGAGGAAACAUACUCAGGAAAAGGAGACCUGCCAUGGGUUGCAAUCAUUAUGUGAAUACUUCUAAUGCCUCAUUAAAUCGGUUUCCUCAUCUGAAAACGAAU